Non-coding RNA from Theobroma cacao (cacao), 426 nucleotides. NCBI's taxonomy places the organism in Eukaryota, Viridiplantae, Streptophyta, Magnoliopsida, Malvales, Malvaceae. The record is from RefSeq and is a predicted model, not a curated record.
ACAGCACAACAGAUCCUGCAGAUGGUACAGACGUUCUCUUUGACGUACAAUUUGAAGAAGAGCAUUCUCCAUCACCUCGCGAUCAUAAGGCUGCCCACACUGGGGCACGGCACAGCGCCAUUCGUCAGCCAGUAAGGCUGAGUCACGGCAUAAAUCCAGGUCUCUGCAAUCGUUGCAGUAGCUGUCAAAAGAUCAUGGGCAUCAGCAACAAGUUUGAGUUUCAAACAAAGAUCACAUUUGGUAAGAUGAAAGAAGGGCAUGGAUCAUGAAACUCAGCUUCUGGAGCAAACUCCCUAAUGCGUGCAUAUUUCAGCAGAUUCUUUCUUAGCACCUGUAUAAUAAGGGUACAUGAAUGAACCUAUUACUUAUUGUAUGACAAUGUAAUAUCAAUUCAGUUAGUUCACACAUCUGAAAAUUGUAGAAGCA